AACGAACGCUGGCGGCAGGCCUAACACAUGCAAGUCGAGCGGACCCUUCGGGGUUAGCGGCGGACGGGUGAGUAACGCGUGGGAAUAUGCCCUUCUCUACGGAAUAGUCCUGGGAAACUGGGGGUAAUACCGUAUACGCCCUUUGGGGGAAAGAUUUAUCGGGGCAGGAUUAGCCCGCGUUGGAUUAGGUAGUUGGUGGGGUAAUGGCCUACCAAGCCGACGAUCCAUAGCUGGUUUGAGAGGGUGAUCAGCCACACUGGGACUGAGACACGGCCCAGACUCGUGCGGGACGUACCAGAAGGGAACCGUCCGCAAUGGGCGCAUGCCUGCUGGAGCAACGGCGCGGGAGUGAUGAAAGUCUUCGGCUCGUAAAACUCUGUUACCAGUGCAGAACAAAUGUGCACGGAACAAUGCAGUUCUUGACGGUAACGAAUAAAAAAGCAACGACUAACUACGUC
RNAcentral lists this ribosomal RNA (458 nucleotides) under uncultured bacterium. Its description in RNAcentral is "partial 16S ribosomal RNA". It matches the Rfam family "Bacterial small subunit ribosomal RNA", at positions 29 to 507 of the family's 1533-position model. The record is from RNAcentral.